GAUGAACGCUGGCGGCGUGCUUAACACAUGCAAGUCGAACGGUGGUAGUAAUAUCACAGUGGCGCACGGGUGAGGAACACGUAGCUCAUCUGCCCUCUAGCGCGGGAUAACGGUCCGAAAGGAUUGCUAAUACCGCAUAAGCUCACGGAAUGCAGAGGUCUGUGAGAAAAGGCUUCGGUCACUAGAGGAGGAGGCUGCGGCCCAUCAGGUAGUUGGGUGGUAACGGCGCACCAAGCCGUCGAC
This 243-nucleotide ribosomal RNA is filed under the name uncultured bacterium. RNAcentral describes it as "partial 16S ribosomal RNA". It matches the Rfam family "Bacterial small subunit ribosomal RNA", at positions 28 to 280 of the family's 1533-position model. The record is from RNAcentral.